RNAcentral lists this ribosomal RNA (440 nucleotides) under uncultured bacterium. RNAcentral's name for it is "partial 16S ribosomal RNA". It matches the Rfam family "Bacterial small subunit ribosomal RNA", at positions 338 to 795 of the family's 1533-position model. The record is from RNAcentral.
CCUACGGGCGGCAGCAGUGGGGAAUAUUGCACAAUGGGGGAAACCCUGAUGCAGCGACGCCGCGUGAGUGAUGAAGUAUUUCGGUAUGUAAAGCUCUAUCAGCAGGGAAGAAAAUGACGGUACCUGACUAAGAAGCCCCGGCUAACUACGUGCCAGCAGCCGCGGUAAUACGUAGGGGGCAAGCGUUAUCCGGAUUUACUGGGUGUAAAGGGAGCGUAGACGGCAGCGCAAGUCUGGAGUGAAAUCCCAGGGCUUAACCAUGGAACUGCUUUGGAAACUGUGCAGCUAGAGUGCAGGAGAGGUAAGCGGAAUUCCUAGUGUAGCGGUGAAAUGCGUAGAUAUUAGGAGGAACACCAGUGGCGAAGGCGGCUUACUGGACUGUAACUGACGUUGAGGCUCGAAAGCGUGGGGAGCAAACAGGAUUAGAUACCCUUGUAGUC